GUGGGUGUAGGAGAAUUGAGAGGAUCUGUCCUUAGUACGAGAGGACCGGGAUGGACGCACCUCUGGUGGACCUGUUGUGGCGCCAGCCGCAUAGCAGGGUAGCUAAGUGCGGACGGGAUAACCGCUGAAAGCAUCUAAGCGGGAAACCCCCCUCAAAACGAGUUCUCCCUUGAGAGCCGUGGAAGACGACCACGUCGAUAGGCCGGGUGUGGAAGCGCAGCAAUGCGUGGAGCUUACCGGUACUAAUAGCUCGAUUGGCUUGAUCAC
RNAcentral lists this ribosomal RNA (267 nucleotides) under Bauldia sp. Its description in RNAcentral is "partial 23S ribosomal RNA". It matches the Rfam family "Bacterial large subunit ribosomal RNA", at positions 2647 to 2925 of the family's 2925-position model. Lineage: Bacteria; Pseudomonadati; Pseudomonadota; Alphaproteobacteria; Hyphomicrobiales; Kaistiaceae. The record is from RNAcentral.